Molecule: ribosomal RNA, 482 nt
Filed under: uncultured bacterium
Lineage: Bacteria
Description: partial 16S ribosomal RNA
Rfam family: Bacterial small subunit ribosomal RNA
Source: RNAcentral
AUUGAACGCUGGCGGCAUGCCUUACACAUGCAAGUCGAACGGUAACGGGCCUUCGGGUGCCGACGAGUGGCGAACGGGUGAGUAAUACAUCGGAACGUGCCCGAUCGCGGGGGAUAACGAGGCGAAAGCUUUGCUAAUACCGCAUACGAUCUACGGAUGAAAGCCGGGGAGCGCAAGGGCUUGCGCGGACGGAGCGGCCGCUGGCAGAUUAGGUAGUUGGUGGGAUAAAAGCUUACCAAGCCGACGAUCUGUAGCUGGUCUGAGAGGAUGAUCAGCCACACUGGGACUGAGACACGGCCCAGACUCCUACGGGAGGCAGCAGUGGGGAAUUUUGGACAAUGGGCGCAAGCCUGAUCCAGCCAUGCCGCGUGCAGGAUGAAGGCCUUCGGGUUGUAAACUGCUUUUGCACGGAACGAAAAGCCUUCUUUUAAUACAGGAGGGUCAUGACGGUACCGUAAGAAUAAGCACCGGCUAACUACGUA